ACGGUUCCUAACCCUAAAUAAAAAACCAAAGACCGUCAUCUAUCGCUUCAUCUGGAACAAAAGGAAGGGAUCGAGUAUUGUGGAAGCUCAUGGCAAGACCCAAAAAAGAAGGGGGGGGAUCAGGAUCCAAGAUCCUAAAUUGCUCAACAUCGUUGCAGGCUUGAAGAGACUUGUGAGAAUAUGGACAUCGACUAACUCGAUAUGGUCGUGUUGGAUUCAAACAAGAUUAUUUUGUGUUAAUCACGAUCUGAUACACCAUUUUCUUCACUGCCUGAUUGUUGAGAUGCCCUCUCAGUGUUCAAUGCAGCGGAAGUAGGUUCGGUAGGGUUGGCGCCCUCAUCUGUUGAUGAUUUUAUAUUCGAGUGAUGAUGGAUUUGAAUCACUGAGAACAGGAAGAUUGGGGAAGAAAGUUUUCUAUAUUUGCCAUUAUUCCUACUCUUUAAUUACUAUUACAGAGUUCCUAAAUCCGUUAUUAACCAACUAAUUAGUUACAAUUUCCUACUCAAACUGUAAUUAGUUAUACUAAUGACAAUUUUAACUUAUAAAUUUGCUUUGCUUCGAAAAAAGAGAGAAGAAACUAGAAAUCGAGAGAAAAACCUAAUCGGCGAUGGAAAAAUAAAAACACGACGAAUUAAGGAUGAGACGG
This 646-nucleotide long non-coding RNA is filed under the name Zostera marina. RNAcentral describes it as "long non-coding RNA (ZMAR_LNC004127)". Lineage: Eukaryota; Viridiplantae; Streptophyta; Magnoliopsida; Alismatales; Zosteraceae. The record is from RNAcentral.